UACGUAGGGGGCAAGCGUUGUCCGGAUUUACUGGGCGUAAGGGCGCGUAGGCGGCAAUUCAAGUCAGCUGUGAAAUCUCCGGGCUUAACUCGGAACGGUCAGCUGAUACUGCUUUGCUAGAGUGCAGAAGGGGCAAUCGGAAUUCUUGGUGUAGCGGUGAAAUGCGUAGAUAUCAAGAGGAACACCUGAGGUGAAGACGGGUUGCUGGGCUGACACUGACGCUGAGGCGCGAAAGCUAGGGUAGCAAACGGG
RNAcentral lists this ribosomal RNA (252 nucleotides) under uncultured bacterium. RNAcentral's name for it is "partial 16S ribosomal RNA". It matches the Rfam family "Bacterial small subunit ribosomal RNA", at positions 524 to 776 of the family's 1533-position model. The record is from RNAcentral.